ACGAUGGGAGCUUGCUCCCAGGCGUCGAGUGGCGGACGGGUGAGUAAUACUUAGGAAUCUACCCAAUAGUGGGGGACAACUCGGGGAAACUCGAGCUAAUACCGCAUACGCCCUACGGGGGAAAGCGGGGGAUCUUCGGACCUCGCGCUAUUGGAUGAGCCUAAGUCGGAUUAGCUUGUUGGUGGGGUAAAGGCCUACCAAGGCGACGAUCCGUAGCUGGUCUGAGAGGAUGAUCAGCCACACUGGGACUGAGACACGGCCCAGACUCCUACGGGAGGCAGCAGUAGGGAAUAUUGGACAAUGGGCGAAAGCCUGAUCCAGCAAUGCCGCGUGUGUGAAGAAGGCCUGCGGGUCGUAAAGCACUUUCAGUAGAGAAGAAAAGCUUAGGGAUAAUACCCCUGAGUCUUGACGUAACCUACAGAAGAAGCACCGGCUAACUCCGUGCCAGCAGCCGCGGUAAUACGGAGGGUGCGAGCGUUAAUCGGAAUUACUGGGCGUAAAGCGCGCGUAGGCGGCUUGGUCAGUCUGAUGUGAAAGCCCUCGACUUAAUCGAGGAAGUGCAUUGGAUACUGCCAGGCUUGAGUGCAGGAGAGGUGAGCGGAAUUCCAGGUGUAGAGGUGAAAUUCGUAGAUAUCUGGAGGAACAACGGUGGCGAAGGCGGCUCACUGGACUGUUACUGACGCUGAGGCGCGAAAGCGUGGGGAGCAAACAGGAUUAGAUACCCUGGUAGUCCACGCUGUAAACGAUGGAUACUAGAUGUCGGGGACUCUUGCCUCCUCGGUGUCGUAGUUAACGCGUUAA
This 801-nucleotide ribosomal RNA is filed under the name uncultured bacterium. Its description in RNAcentral is "bacterial SSU rRNA". It matches the Rfam family "Bacterial small subunit ribosomal RNA", at positions 70 to 863 of the family's 1533-position model. The record is from RNAcentral.